This 1415-nucleotide long non-coding RNA is filed under the name Chloebia gouldiae (Gouldian finch). Its description in RNAcentral is "Erythrura gouldiae (Gouldian finch) lncRNA (ENSEGOG00005015052.1)". The record is from RNAcentral. Lineage: Eukaryota; Metazoa; Chordata; Aves; Passeriformes; Passeridae.
UUAUUUUGUAAUUAUGUUUAUCAACUCCCCGAGCAGUUUCCCAAGCAGAGAGCCCAGCCUGCUCUCCCAGCAUCUCAUUUUUCACCCUGAGCACGGCCCGUGACAAAUGACGUGGAGCAUCCCCAGUGACACAUUCCAAGGGGGUGAUGCUGCCCUCGUGGAUUCCUUUUGCUGCCCUCUCCCCGGGCUUUUUUUGGGUUUUUCUUUUUCAUUACAUGAAGCUGACAACUGCAGAUUUGUUGCUCACACGGUUAAAGAGAAGAGUUCAUGUCCACCCCAGCUUGUUUCACUUUGCUGCUGUUCCUCCGCCAGCCCAAAUUUCAGCUGCAGUAACACGAUCCCACUUGGCAGGGCCUGAGAGAAUCUUUGGCACAUUGGAAAGAGGCUUAAUGUAAAGUCUACUUUUUUUUUUUAAUUUUUUUUUCCUUAGAGCUUUUUGAAACUCCCCUGGUUGUGCACAGCUCUGGCAGCAGCUGCAGGGCUGCUCCCAGACGCUCCAAAUGUGAGCUCAAGGAUCACCAAUGCGUCCUGUGCAGGGAAUGUCUUGAGUGCCUGUCCCAAAAAAAUCCUCCAAAACCCCCUCAGGAACGACAUGGAUCGGGCUGAACAACUUUCUGCAGGCAGAAGGAAAAGCUGCCUGUCCCUGGACCAGAAGAGGAGCAGUGCCUGGAGGACCACGGUGGGGUUUUUGUGUCUGUUCCCUGUGCUGGCUUUGCUGGCAGUUGUGGAAUAUCCAGCUGGAGUUCAGGAAAUUCAGGAAGAAGCCCCAGGCUCGGCUCUGCCCAGCCCGGCUGCUGGCGGGCGCAGCAGGCGUUACACCAUCACCCCCGGCCGCCUCAAGUGGGACCACUUCAACCUCACCUACAAGAUGUGCUGGGACCAGGGGAGGACAUAAUCAGCAUAGCUAAAAACAUCCCGAGGGGAUAGAGAAUAUGCCCAGCUUGUCCCAGUUGCUCCACUUGAGGCAAUUCCCUGAGUGCAGAUCUUCCAUGGGACGAGGUAAGUUCCUGGGAGCCAUCUGUGCAUUUCCAUGGCCCAAACGGCUUCUGCCAGCCCACACCAGGAGUUUCCCCACUCUUUGCCCCAGGGCCUAAGCAAAAACCUCUUUAGAGUCUCUAUCCUAAGUGAUUAGGAUUUUUUUUUCAAAGGAAAUAACCUCUUUACCUGUAGAUUUUUUUUCCCGUAUUUUGCUUUUUCCAAGGAAAGGACUUGUUUUCCCAUCCAACCUUUCAUAUUGUUUGGAACUCUUUUUUGAAAAGUUCUGCCUGAAUGUAUUCCACAGCAUCCAUUGGAGCACAAGGGUCAGGAACAGGAAUUCCCUGCUGCUGGAAUGCAGAUCUUCCCUCUUCCAGCAACACUGCCCAGCAGACUGGGAUAGAUCAGGAUAAAAUCAGUUUUCCAGGAGAACCUGUGCU